CCUACGGGCGGCAGCAGUGAGGAAUAUUGGUCAAUGGGCGUAAGCCUGAACCAGCCAAGUCGCGUGAGGGAUGAAGGUUCUAUGGAUCGUAAACCUCUUUUAUAAGGGAGUAAAGUGUGGGACGUGUCCUGUUUUGUAUGUACCUUAUGAAUAAGGAUCGGCUAACUCCGUGCCAGCAGCCGCGGUAAUACGGAGGAUCCGAGCGUUAUCCGGAUUUAUUGGGUUUAAAGGGUGCGUAGGCGGCCUGUUAAGUCAGCGGUGAAAGUCUGUGGCUCAACCAUAGAAUUGCCGUUGAAACUGGGAGGCUUGAGUAUGUUUGAGGCAGGCGGAAUGCGUGGUGUAGCGGUGAAAUGCUUAGAUAUCACGAAGAACCCCGAUGGCGAAGGCAGCCUGCCAAGCCAUGACUGACGCUGAUGCACGAAAGCGUGGGGAUCAAACAGGAUUAGAUACCCGGGUAGUC
This 460-nucleotide ribosomal RNA is filed under the name uncultured bacterium. RNAcentral's name for it is "partial 16S ribosomal RNA". It matches the Rfam family "Bacterial small subunit ribosomal RNA", at positions 338 to 795 of the family's 1533-position model. The record is from RNAcentral.